CAGCAGCCGCGGUAAAACGAAGGGUGCAAGCGUUACUCGGAAUUACUGGGCGUAAAGCGUGCGUAGGUGGUGGUUUAAGUCCGUUGUGAAAGCCCUGGGCUCAACCUGGGAAUUGCAGUGGAUACUGGGUCACUAGAGUGUGGUAGAGGAUAGUGGAAUUUCCGGUGUAGCAGUGAAAUGCGUAGAGAUCGGAAGGAACAUCUGUGGCGAAGGCGACUAUCUGGGCCAACACUGACACUGAGGCACGAAAGCGUGGGGAGCAAACAGGAUUAGAUACCCCUGUAGUCCCUGUCUCUUAUAA
Molecule: ribosomal RNA, 301 nt
Filed under: uncultured bacterium
Lineage: Bacteria
Description: partial 16S ribosomal RNA
Rfam family: Bacterial small subunit ribosomal RNA
Source: RNAcentral